AUGUGGAAGACUUUGAUGGCUUGGUGGAUCGAUGUUCAAACUUCAGAGAGACACUGCUGCUCUGAGAGAGGCUGCCUCAAAGACUGCUCCACUCAACCACCCAGACCAGCAGGGGGCAGCAUUUCAACUGCUACUGAUGAGACUGCCUAUGGUCAGAUAAAUCAGGAAAGUAAAUCAGAUAGUCAAUACAAUAAGCUUUGUGUGAAAUGUCUGCCAGAAGAAAAAUAUCCUGUGGCAGUGGAUAAAGAAGUAUUCCAUAAAUCUGUGCAUGGCCUCUGUGAGGGAGAGGAGGGAAUCCAGUCAACAGCAUCAGAAAUUAGGGAACUCUGUGGGGAGCAUGGAGAGAUACUGCCUGAGGUCAGGAGCACAGACAAUGAGACCAGGCUGGUAGGGGGAGACCUCACAUCCCAGAGAACUGAGCGAGGGCCUCGCUGGGCAACGGAGGAGCAUGAGUCCGAGCUCACAUGUAGAGAGGUGUUUACGGUGCUCACGGAAGAGAGGUGUUUUUCAGAUUUAUCAGCUACCCUGACUGAGGAGGCCGUAGGAGGGUGGAGGGAGGCAGGGGCUGGGCAGUUUAAUUCCCUUUUACGAGCCUCUGCUGCUGCUGGCCCUGCUACCUCUGUAACACACUCUCCGCCUAAUCCGGCCUCCUCAGGAGCCAUGACAACAGGCCUCCCUGCUCCAAAUGGGGGGCAGACAGACGCUGGAGGUUGGGCUCUGGUGCCUCUGCUACGGAGCCCAGGGGAGCAGGAGUGGAAGAGGGGCCGGGACGAGAGCAAGGUGGCCUCCAACGGUGGGUUCCUGGAUGGGGGGCCGGGGGCGGAGGAUGACUUUGGGCUUUUCAUGCAGGCAGAGGAGCAGCCGCCCUGGGACGACCGCUUCACUGCAUCACCCCUAGUGCCUUCUGGGAAAAGUGAGAGUGUUGCACUUGAAAACCAUUCCAUCACCAACGAGUCGACCCAUUGGACCUCAUGUUGGCCAGACCGCUCAUUCCAACCACCAGAGGAUGCCUGGACAGCCUUCCCAAAGGAUUCAGAGGGAGAGGGACAAGACACAAGAGGACAGUGGUGGCCCACAAAUGCUGUGGAGAAGACGAGGGGAAGAUUCUCUGCCAAGGGAAAUGUGAACAAUGUGUUUGUGGAGUCCUUCCCGUCACUGUCUACUCCCCUGUAUGACCGUGAUGCUGUUCCCAUGCUCAGCCAGCUCCUCAGAGGCAUCUUGGAUCAUGAAAGCUCUGCAGAGGAUCAUGGCUUACUUGAUGGGUUCCAUGACCUGAAGAAGAUGUUUGGCUUGAAAUAUAAGAGGGCAAAUGCUGUUUCCCGUGGACGGCUUCUACAGUCGCUACAUUUGGGCCAGUAUGACACGGAAAAUAUGACUGGGCAUAGAGCAGCCAACUACAGUCCCUCUCUUGGCCUCCCCUCGUCCAGUCAGCAUGCACAGGCCUGUGGGAAGAGACGGUUAUCUUAUGAUGUCAACAAGAACAUCAUGGAAUAACCAAGAUUUCCACUUUCCCUGACUGUCAACAACACAUUGUCUUUACUAUGCCCUUCUAUGCCAAACCACUAAUGGGUCACGGUCUUCAUCUCCAUGGGGAGAAAUAACAAAAAAAUGUCACAAGAUUCAGAACUCAGAGGAUGGACCAGCUGACUAUAUGGUGACCCUUAAUAAUGCCCUGUUUUGCUUGACAUUUCCCUGGAGUUGGAUCAAUAGAUGCAUACCUGUGACUAAUUGGAUAAAAUGAAGCACAAAUGAUUAUUUUUGUCUCACAAAUAUUCCUAAAAUACAUGCAGAUGUUUACAUUCUUAUUAAUCUCAUUCUUUUAGGGACUCUAUGAAAUGUUAAAGUAAUUUGUUUGUCAGGAGAAGUGGAUGUCUAUACCCCUCCCCCUUCGUUCACUCCCACCCGCUUUCCCCCACACACACACGGACUUGGACACAAACACACACUGUCCUCUCCCAUCAUGUGGUCUGGCUCAACUGUGUGCCAGUGACAACUCUGGAGCAGAAUAUAUUCUGUUGGUUUAGCUAACAUUGGAGCUCACAUGGAUCACAGCUCCUUUUCUUAUUAUUUCAGUACAUAAUGACCAUGUUUACUGAAAUGAUUACCUUUUUAAAUUGGGGUGUUUCUGUCUGUCAGAAUUACGUUUUGUACUGGCUAAGAGAAAGUGUUAUUUUACCAGUACAAGUUUGUUUUAGAUCACAAAAAUGCAAUCAUGUCCUAUUAAGACUCCAUUUGUUUUUGUGGGGGCAACCCUGGGCAACUCAGUAGGUCUACAGAAAAUGUAUUUGAUGUUUGUCAUUUGUACAUAAUUCCAAGGGAAAAUACAGAUUUUUUUUCUGAGUGGUUCAAAUGGAUAAAAAAAAGAGAUUGUCAACUUGUUCAUUGAUGUAAUAAAAUGACACGGUGAUUGCGGUUUUCCAUCCUCAAAGCUUUUGCUAAUGUUGUUGCUGUGUCAUUUUUAGAAGUACCUAAAUGGUCAUCUUAUUUGCGUAUUUGACACAAUACUCACUAUAAACCAAAACAGCAAAAAAUAGUACUUCUACAGGCUACAUGUGUCAGUCAAUUAGAAUGGUGUACGGCGCUAGAAUGAAGUAUCACAGGUCAAAGGGAAACUGCACUGGCAAAUCAACACUUCCAAGUGACAUACAUUGAAUUAGCACACCAUUAC
This is a long non-coding RNA of Oncorhynchus tshawytscha (Chinook salmon), 2668 nucleotides long. The record is from Ensembl. Lineage: Eukaryota; Metazoa; Chordata; Actinopteri; Salmoniformes; Salmonidae.